This 75-nucleotide transfer RNA is filed under the name Candidatus Woesearchaeota archaeon. Its description in RNAcentral is "tRNA-Ile". It matches the Rfam family "tRNA". From Rfam's summary of the family: Transfer RNA (tRNA) molecules are approximately 80 nucleotides in length. The record is from RNAcentral. Lineage: Archaea; Nanobdellati; Candidatus Woesearchaeota.
GGGCCCGUAGCUUAGUCUGGUUAGAGCGCUGGUCUUAUAAACCAGUGGUCGUGGAUUCAAAUUCCAUCGGGCCCA